AAGCUCGUAGUUGAAUUUCGGGAUCAGACUGUCGGUCGUGCCUCGGUACGCACUGGCAUUAUUGGUUCCUACCUUCUGAAGAACCGCGAUGUCAUUAAUUUGGUGUCGCGGGGAAUCAGGACUGUUACUUUGAAAAAAUUAGAGUGUUUAAAGCAGGCUCGCGCUUGAAUACAUUAGCAUGGAAUAAUGAAAUAGGACGUUGAUCCUAUUUUGUUGGUUUCUAGGAUUGACGUAAUGAUUAAUAGGGAUAGUUGGG
RNAcentral lists this ribosomal RNA (256 nucleotides) under uncultured Glomus. Its description in RNAcentral is "partial 18S ribosomal RNA". It matches the Rfam family "Eukaryotic small subunit ribosomal RNA", at positions 624 to 886 of the family's 1831-position model. The record is from RNAcentral. Lineage: Eukaryota; Fungi; Glomeromycota; Glomeromycetes; Glomerales; Glomeraceae.